AAACUUGUGGGUGUGCGGCCAAACGACAGUUUCGUAAACUGCAGGUCCGGGGUUCGAAUCCCUGCGGUGGCU
This 72-nucleotide transfer RNA is filed under the name Methanobacteriota archaeon. RNAcentral's name for it is "Euryarchaeota archaeon tRNA-Thr". Lineage: Archaea; Methanobacteriati; Methanobacteriota. The record is from RNAcentral.